RNAcentral lists this long non-coding RNA (610 nucleotides) under Homo sapiens (human). Its description in RNAcentral is "HSALNT0139080". Lineage: Eukaryota; Metazoa; Chordata; Mammalia; Primates; Hominidae. The record is from RNAcentral.
AAAGUUUGAUAAACAUCCAGAGACAACACAUCUUGUGAUGAGCAGUAGCAGCAAUGGAGUACAUGGACGAGUAACAAGGAAGGAAGAGAAGCAAGCACUGUAGUAGACCAUGGCAUACAGACUGGUUUGAAGAAACAGACACUGAGACAAGUCAGUUUUUUCGGAGAUGGUGGCAGGAAGCAGAAGUGAAGGAGCAAGAAAAGUGAAACAGGGAAAGGAGGAAAGCCACACAUUGGAAGUCAAUGUCAAGGAGCAGAUCAUCACAGGAAGCAAGUGUGGCUCAGUCCUGCUGGGAUCCCCUGAGUAAUCAAAUAGAACAUUGUUCAGAACAGUCCCAGUUGGGUGUUUAUCCAUCAACCCACAUCCUUCCUUAAUUGAAGAUUACCCUUGGUUGCAGAGAUAAACAAGAGAACCCUCAAAAUUGAAGCAAACAGACCUCAGUGUGAAAGCAACUGGCUUGAAUGGGAACUGUCAGUUGUAGAUGCAGAUAGACUCAAAGGUAGGCCAGAGUGAUAUGUAACAUGGUAUUCAACAUCAUCUGCUUUACUUUCCUUGAAAAAAAAAAUAAAGAAAUCCAUAAAUGAAGCCACUUAUACAAAUACAUCGAAGC